GGGGCCCAUUCAAUCCUUGUUUGUUUAUUAGUUUUCAAUUCUGCGCUUUAUCGCGGGGUAGAGCAGCUUGGUAGCU
Molecule: transfer RNA, 76 nt
Filed under: Julbernardia paniculata
Lineage: Eukaryota; Viridiplantae; Streptophyta; Magnoliopsida; Fabales; Fabaceae
Description: tRNA-Met
Source: RNAcentral